CUAUCUCAGUUAGUCAAUGUCAUUACCCUCUUGUUAGGAUAUGGGAAUACUAGCGUUAA
This is a small RNA of 59 nucleotides. It matches the Rfam family "Transposase-1 RNA". From Rfam's summary of the family: Lactobacillales (Firmicutes). Environment (Human Microbiome Project, vagina) The record is from Rfam.